UUGCUCGUACCUUCUCUCUUACUUGAACCUCUUCUUCAUUCUGGUCUUUCGACGCUUUAUACCCUGAAGCUUCCUGCGCCAAAUCGUUUUCUCUCUGAUUCUCUUUCCGUGGUAUAUGCUGGAGGCUUACUUGCUCAAAUCUCUUGAGUAGUCUGAUGGUAAUCACAAAAUACAUGAUUAAAUUUUCUUUGACACAACUGUAUUCUUUUGAUACCUAUUUAAUUACUAACUCAGAGUCUCCCAUAAU
RNAcentral lists this long non-coding RNA (247 nucleotides) under Lathyrus oleraceus (garden pea). Its description in RNAcentral is "Pisum sativum (pea) long non-coding RNA (PSAT_LNC016157)". The record is from RNAcentral. Lineage: Eukaryota; Viridiplantae; Streptophyta; Magnoliopsida; Fabales; Fabaceae.